ACACGCUGGCGGCGUGCCUAACACAUGCAAGUCGAGCGGGGUUGAGGCGAGAGGUAACUCGAGCUUCUACCUAGCGGCGGACGGGUGAGUAACGCGUGGGCAACCUGCCUCAAGGUUUGGGAUAACAGCCCGAAAGGGCUGCUAAUACCGGAUAUGCCUAUGGCCUCGCAUGGGGCUAUGAGCAAAGGGGAAACCCGCCUUGAGAUGGGCCCGCGUCCCAUCAGCUAGUUGGUGAGGUAACAGCUCACCAAGGCGACGACGGGUAGCCGGCCUGAGAGGGUGACCGGCCACACUGGGACUGAGACACGGCCCAGACUCCUACGGGGGGCAGCAGUGGGGGAUCUUGCACAAUGGGCGAAAGCCUGAUGCAGCGACGCCGCGUGAGCGAAGAAGGCCUUCGGGUUGUAAAGCUCUGUCUGGAGGGACGAACAAAAUGACGGUACCUCCGGAGGAAGCCACGGCUAACUACGUG
Molecule: ribosomal RNA, 472 nt
Filed under: uncultured bacterium
Lineage: Bacteria
Description: bacterial SSU rRNA
Rfam family: Bacterial small subunit ribosomal RNA
Source: RNAcentral